RNAcentral lists this ribosomal RNA (440 nucleotides) under uncultured Hyphomicrobium sp. RNAcentral describes it as "bacterial SSU rRNA". It matches the Rfam family "Bacterial small subunit ribosomal RNA", at positions 338 to 795 of the family's 1533-position model. The record is from RNAcentral. Lineage: Bacteria; Pseudomonadati; Pseudomonadota; Alphaproteobacteria; Hyphomicrobiales; Hyphomicrobiaceae.
CCUACGGGCGGCUGCAGUGGGGAAUAUUGGACAAUGGGCGCAAGCCUGAUCCAGCCAUGCCGCGUGAGUGACGAAGGUCUUCGGAUUGUAAAGCUCUUUUGGCGGGGACGAUAAUGACGGUACCCGCAGAAUAAGCCCCGGCUAACUUCGUGCCAGCAGCCGCGGUAAUACGAAGGGGGCUAGCGUUGUUCGGAAUUACUGGGCGUAAAGCGCACGUAGGCGGAUUUGUAAGUCAGGGGUGAAAUCCCGGGGCUCAACCUCGGAACUGCCUUUGAUACUGCAAGUCUCGAGACCGGAAGAGGUGAGUGGAAUUCCUAGUGUAGAGGUGAAAUUCGUAGAUAUUAGGAAGAACACCAGUGGCGAAGGCGGCUCACUGGUCCGGUACUGACGCUGAGGUGCGAAAGCGUGGGGAGCAAACAGGAUUAGAUACCCCAGUAGUC